Bos taurus (domestic cattle) is the source of this 36-nucleotide non-coding RNA. The record is from Rfam. Lineage: Eukaryota; Metazoa; Chordata; Mammalia; Artiodactyla; Bovidae.
CGGUUUCCUGCUUCAACAGUGCUUGAACGGNAACCG